Molecule: ribosomal RNA, 521 nt
Filed under: uncultured bacterium
Lineage: Bacteria
Description: bacterial SSU rRNA
Rfam family: Bacterial small subunit ribosomal RNA
Source: RNAcentral
CAGGACGAACGCUGGCGGCGUGCCUAAUACAUGCAAGUCGAACGGUCUUUCUAUGGAAGCUGCUUCCACUGAGAAGAUAGUGGCGAACGGGUGAGUAACACGUGGGUAACCUGCCCAUAAGAGGGGGAUAACAUCCGGAAACGGGUGCUAAUACCGCAUAGUUUUCUUGAUCGCAUGAUCGGGAAAGGAAAGACGGCCUUUGUGCUGUCGCUUAUGGAUGGACCCGCGGCGUAUUAGUUAGUUGGUGAGGUAACGGCUCACCAAGACGAUGAUACGUAGCCGACCUGAGAGGGUGAUCGGCCACAUUGGGACUGAGACACGGCCCAAACUCCUACGGGAGGCAGCAGUAGGGAAUCUUCCGCAAUGGACGAAAGUCUGACGGAGCAACGCCGCGUGAGUGAAGAAAAGGGUUUUCGGAUCGUAAAACUCUGUUGUCAGAGAAGAACAAGUUGGAGAGUAACUGCUCCAGCCUUGACGGUAUCUGACCAGAAAGCCACGGCUAACUACGUGCCAGCCGCCGC